GACGAACGCUGGCGGCGUGCUUAACACAUGCAAGUCGAACGGAAAGGCCCUGCUUGCAGGGUACUCGAGUGGCGAACGGGUGAGUAACACGUGGGUGAUCUGCCCUGCACUUCGGGAUAAGCCUGGGAAACUGGGUCUAAUACCGGAUAGGAGCCAUUUUUAGUGUGAUGGUUGGAAAGUUUUUUCGGUGUAGGAUGAGCUCGCGGCCUAUCAGCUUGUUGGUGGGGUAAUGGCCUACCAAGGCGGCGACGGGUAGCCGGACUGAGAGGGUGGACGGCCACAUUGGGACUGAGAUACGGCCCAGACGCCUACGGGAGGCAGCAGUGGGGAAGAUUGCACAAUGGGCGCAAGCCUGAUGCAGCGACGCCGCGUGGGGGAUGACGGCCUUCGGGUUGUAAACUCCUUUCGCUAGGGACGAAGCUUUUUGUGACGGUACCUAGAUAAGAAGCACCGGCUAACUACGUG
RNAcentral lists this ribosomal RNA (465 nucleotides) under uncultured bacterium. RNAcentral describes it as "partial 16S ribosomal RNA". It matches the Rfam family "Bacterial small subunit ribosomal RNA", at positions 28 to 507 of the family's 1533-position model. The record is from RNAcentral.